CUUUUAAAAGACCAUUUUACACAUCUCUACAUAAGUACAUGUAUGCCUAUUCAGUAAUUAAUUAAUUUUUAUCCUACAAAAGGGUGUUCUAACCUUAUGCAAAUAGAAUAGAUAAUUUAAUUACCUACGUAAUUAAUUUUCUUAAUUCCAUUACGGUGAAAGUGUUGGGAAAACAAGACGCUCCCUAUGUAUUGCAUAAACGGUAAAACUGUAUAGAAAUCAAUCACAACCACCUACUUUAAUUAACUUUAAAAAAUAUUCCAACACAUUAUAUUGUACACAUAUACCUAACGAUAGCAUGUGCGGUAAUUUUAGGGUUUCAUAACUAUGGUAAAAAAGACAACCCCUUACAAAAUCACGUAUCGUAGUCUUUUUUUUCGAUAUAUUUUUGAUUCUUUUGUAAAUCUUAACUUUAGGUUUCAUGAAUGGAAUGGUUCGAACUAUGGUUGUAUUCAAGUUUUUUCAACUGAAGAAAUAAUAAAUAAAACUGUAAAAGUUUCUGACAAUGAAGCCAUUCUUGCUAGAAACCAGUCUCUAAUUAUAAAGGGCCCCCUGUUUUCAGCAGUAUUUCUACUUCUAGUCGGAUUUGUUUGCGGUGUUUCAGUAUUCGCAUAUUGUCUUCAUAUGAGACGAAGUGAUAGACAAAUGAAAGUAUCUUUGGAAGAGCUAAGAACUAAAAAACAUGAACACAACAGAAGUACAACACCAUUACCGCCUUUCCCAAUUCCAUCUAAACCAAUGCGUAUACAUUCAACAAAAAGUUCACCAUUUGUAUAAAUAUUUAUUGUAUUUACAUACUUGGGUGUAUACUACGUUUAAUAAAGUUUAAUUUUGUUACAUUUUGUGUAA
Molecule: long non-coding RNA, 849 nt
Organism: Agrilus planipennis (emerald ash borer)
Lineage: Eukaryota; Metazoa; Arthropoda; Insecta; Coleoptera; Buprestidae
Exons: 3
Source: RefSeq, a predicted model, not a curated record